UACGUAGGGCGCAAGCGUUGUCCGGAAUUAUUGGGCGUAAAGAGCUCGUAGGCGGCUUGUCACGUCGGGUGUGAAAGCCCGGGGCUUAACCCCGGGUCUGCAUUCGAUACGGGCAGGCUAGAGUGUGGUAGGGGAGAUCGGAAUUCCUGGUGUAGCGGUGAAAUGCGUAGAUAUCGUGAGGAAGGCCAGCGGCGAAGGCGGCGCUCUGGGCCGGAACUGACGCUGAGGAGCGAAAGCGUGGGUAGCAAACAGG
Molecule: ribosomal RNA, 253 nt
Filed under: uncultured bacterium
Lineage: Bacteria
Description: partial 16S ribosomal RNA
Rfam family: Bacterial small subunit ribosomal RNA
Source: RNAcentral